RNAcentral lists this transfer RNA (72 nucleotides) under Camelus bactrianus (Bactrian camel). It matches the Rfam family "tRNA". From Rfam's summary of the family: Transfer RNA (tRNA) molecules are approximately 80 nucleotides in length. RNAcentral also lists the same sequence under 2 other names. Lineage: Eukaryota; Metazoa; Chordata; Mammalia; Artiodactyla; Camelidae. The record is from Rfam by way of RNAcentral.
GAGGGUAUAGCCCUGUGGUAGAGUGCAUACUUGGCAUGCACAAGGUCCUGGGUUCAAUCCCCAGUACCUCCA